AUGGCCAGCCGCAACGUUAACGGCGCGUCGUGGUCCACUGGCCUCUGGGACUGCUGCGACGACGUCGGUGGCUGCUUCCUCACCUGGUGCUUCCCGUGCAUCACCUUUGGGAGGAUCGCCGAGAUCGUCGACGAGGGGGAGAUACCAUGCUGUGCGAGCGGGUCCUUGUACGUGCUGCUGUGCAUGACCACGGGGUUGGGCAUGGGACUCUACUCCUGCUUCUACCGGUACAAGCUGCGGAAGGCGUACGAGCUUGCGGAGAAGCCCUGCGCCGACUGUUGCGUCCACUUCUUCUGCGGGGCCUGCGCCCUCUGCCAGGAGUACCGCGAGCUCAAGAACCGGGGCUUCCACAUGCACUUGGGAUGGCAAGCCAACGUCGAGAGGAUGGGGAAGGGGACGACCGUCGCGCCCCAAGUGGACCCCGGGAUGACUCGUUAA
This 438-nucleotide ribosomal RNA is filed under the name Triticum aestivum (bread wheat). RNAcentral's name for it is "partial small subunit ribosomal RNA". The record is from RNAcentral. Lineage: Eukaryota; Viridiplantae; Streptophyta; Magnoliopsida; Poales; Poaceae.